Molecule: ribosomal RNA, 253 nt
Filed under: uncultured bacterium
Lineage: Bacteria
Description: partial 16S ribosomal RNA
Rfam family: Bacterial small subunit ribosomal RNA
Source: RNAcentral
UACGUAGGUGGCAAGCGUUGUCCGGAUUUACUGGGCGUAAAGAGCGCGCAGGCGGUCGAUUUAGUCGCGUGUGAAAGCCCCCGGCUCAACUGGGGAGGGUCACGCGAUACUGAUCGACUCGAAGGCAGGAGAGGGUAGUGGAAUUCCCGGUGUAGUGGUGAAAUGCGUAGAUAUUGGGAAGAACACCGAUGGCGAAGGCAGCCAUCUGGACCGACACUGACGCUGAGGCGCGAAAGCGUGGGGAGCAAACAGG